Tupaia belangeri (northern tree shrew) is the source of this 105-nucleotide small nuclear RNA. NCBI's taxonomy places the organism in Eukaryota, Metazoa, Chordata, Mammalia, Scandentia, Tupaiidae. The record is from Ensembl.
AGGGGAACACUAUUCAGCCCAUAUAUACUGAAAUGGGAAUGAUUCAGAGACGUUUAGCCACUGCACAAGGAUGAUAUGCAAAUUCGUGAAGCGUUCCAUAUUUUU